GAUGAACGCUGGCGGCAUGCCUAAUACAUGCAAGUCGAACGAACAGGCCCGUGGAAUAUGGAGUGCUUGCACAAAGUAUGAAAUGGAUUUUCUGUUAGUGGCGAACGGGUGAGUAACACGUGGGUAACCUACCCUUAAGUGUGGGAUAACUAUUAGAAAUGAUAGCUAAUACCGCAUAGGAUAUAUGUUGGCAUCAAUAUAUAUUUAAAGUCGCGUUAGCGUCGCUAAAGGAUGGACCUGCGCUGCAUUAGCUAGUUGGAGAGGUAGAGGCUCACCAAGGCAACGAUGCAUAGCCGGACUGAGAGGUUGAACGGCCACAUUGGGACUGAGACACGGCCCAAACACCUACGGGUGGCAGCAGUAGGGAACUUUUCGCAAUGGACGAAAGUCUGACGGAGCAAUGCCGCGUGAACGAUGAAGGUUUUCGGAUCGUAAAGUUCUGUUGUAAGGGAAGAACAAGUGGAUAAGGAAAUGUAUCCACCCUGACGGUACCCUACCAGAAAGGGACGGCUAACUACGUGCCAGCCGCCGCAGUAAAAC
This 540-nucleotide ribosomal RNA is filed under the name uncultured bacterium. RNAcentral describes it as "bacterial SSU rRNA". It matches the Rfam family "Bacterial small subunit ribosomal RNA", at positions 28 to 526 of the family's 1533-position model. The record is from RNAcentral.